ACGUAGGGUGCGAGCGUUAAUCGGAAUUACUGGGCGUAAAGCGUGCGCAGGCGGGCUUUUAAGCCAGACGUGAAAUCCCCGGGCUCAACCUGGGAAUGGCGUUUGGGACUGGAAGUCUGGAGUACGGCAGAGGAGACUGGAAUUCCUGGUGUAGCAGUGAAAUGCGUAGAUAUCAGGAGGAACACCGAUGGCGAAGGCAGGUCUCUGGGCUGAUACUGACGCUCAUGCACGAAAGCGUGGGGAGCAAACAGGAUUAGAUACCCUGGUAGUCCACGCCCUAAACGAUGUCGACUGGUUGUUGGGGGUUUGACACUCUCAGUAACGAAGCUAACGCGUGAAGUCGACCGCCUGGGGAGUACGGCCGCAAGGUUA
This 372-nucleotide ribosomal RNA is filed under the name uncultured bacterium. RNAcentral's name for it is "bacterial SSU rRNA". It matches the Rfam family "Bacterial small subunit ribosomal RNA", at positions 525 to 896 of the family's 1533-position model. The record is from RNAcentral.